RNAcentral lists this ribosomal RNA (232 nucleotides) under uncultured Staphylococcus sp. RNAcentral's name for it is "partial 16S ribosomal RNA". It matches the Rfam family "Bacterial small subunit ribosomal RNA", at positions 109 to 334 of the family's 1533-position model. The record is from RNAcentral. Lineage: Bacteria; Bacillati; Bacillota; Bacilli; Caryophanales; Staphylococcaceae.
AGUAACACGUGGAUAACCUACCUAUAAGACUGGGAUAACUUCGGGAAACCGGAGCUAAUACCGGAUGAUAUUUUGAACCGCAUGGUUCAAAAGUGAAAGACGGUCUUGCUGUCACUUAUAGAUGGUAUCCGCGCUGCAUUAGCUAGUUGGUAAGGUAACGGCUUACCAAGGCAACGAUGCAUAGCCGACCUGAGAGGGUGAUCGGCCACACUGGAACUGAGACACGGUCCAG